UUUCUUUUUAGUAACGACCAGAAGGCUUUUUUUAAAAAAAAUUAAUAAAUUGUAACAACGUUUCGGAGUUUACUCCAUCAUCAGGUUACAUUUAUACGCACGUAUAAAUGAUGAUGGAGUAAACUGAUAAAUGGAGUUUAUGAUGGAGUAAACUCCGAAACGUUGUUACAAUUUAUUAAAUUUUUUUUAAAAAAAGCCUUCUGGUCGUUACUAAAAAGAAAAUUAUUACAUUUAAAUGAGGCUUAGAGAAAGUUCGCUUCUAAUCACAUUG
Molecule: non-coding RNA, 271 nt
Organism: Paramuricea clavata
Lineage: Eukaryota; Metazoa; Cnidaria; Anthozoa; Malacalcyonacea; Plexauridae
Source: the annotation of a GenBank genome assembly